RNAcentral lists this unclassified non-coding RNA (1893 nucleotides) under Anneissia japonica. RNAcentral's name for it is "apoptosis regulatory protein Siva-like, transcript variant X1". Lineage: Eukaryota; Metazoa; Echinodermata; Crinoidea; Comatulida; Comatulidae. The record is from RNAcentral.
UUUCGCGCCACAAACAAGGGCAAGCCUCUCUAGGCACAGGUCCCUGCAUGCCCACAUGCGUCACGACCACGACAGCACCAUUCAUCCUUGAGAAACCCCCUUCGAAAACACUACAUCACUAAUAGUAAUACUAUGCCUAAACGUCCUAGGACUGACGAUGCAAUCGGUUAUUGCCCGCUACAAUUAAAAACGCAUGUUGGACAAAAAGAAGUAAACAUGGGAGUGAACAAGGAUAAGAAUAUGAAGGCAGUUUACGAUCACACAUUAAAUUUGAUGCUACAAGGUCAAAAAGCAUACUACACUGGUCUGUUAGCAAGCAAUGGACAUAGCUGCGCUGAUGAUGGCCAUCCCCACGAUGAUGCUGGUCAACAAGUUAUGCCUGGCCAACUUCAACUUAACAUGAGUGGUCAACUUAUUAACAAUAACAAUCUUGGAGCACAGUCAUUGACUUGUGAAUCACCAGCCCAGGCUGAACCUACGUGUCGGCUGUGUCUCGCAGGUCACAAGACCACUGCAUUAACGACAUGUCCCUAUUGUGAGCAGCUUAUGUGUCAGACCUGUAGUAGGCAGUGCGAUUACUGUAUUCGUUUCUUCUGUCAGUUUUGUUCAGUAUUAAAGUAGUACCUGUAGGUGUCCUCUGCGCGCAGUAGGUUGGCUACCAUGGAUUUGCAUUCCCCUUUAAAGUACACUGUGCUGUCCUUGCACAUUGUUAAUAACUCAUUCAACACCGUUCUUUGAUGUUAUCCAUCCACAUAGUCCUUGGUCCACCUCUGUUCCAUCUUCCCUUCCAAUAAAGUUGGCCUUCACUAAUUACAAUGCAAAUAACCCAACCCACUGUUUUUCACUUCAUACACAAGAACAGCUACAGAAAAAUUUUCUGCUAUUAGUCCCAUCCUUUAGAUAUUGUUUUUAAGGUCCAAAAAAGAGUUGGUUGUGAGACAUGCAUGUAUUCCUGCUCUGCCUAUUGAAUAACAUAUUCUGAUUGGUUAGAUUUAAAGUUUGUGCAUAGGUCAACAAAAGAAAAGAAACAAAAGAUUAAAGUUAGUAUUUUCUUUUUUUUUUUUUCAGCAUUGACUUGUGAAUCACCAGCCCAGGCUGAACCUACGUGUCGGCUGUGUCUCGCAGGUCACAAGACCACUGCAUUAACGACAUGUCCCUAUUGUGAGCAGCUUAUGUGUCAGACCUGUAGUAGGCAGUGCGAUUACUGUAUUCGUGUCUUCUGUCAGUUUUGUUCAGUAUUAAAUUAUGAUGAGCGGGAUGAACAUAUUAUCUGUCUGAAUUGUCUGUCCUAAAGAUUACACCUGUCAAUCAAACUAAACUAAGGCGUUGCUGCAGAUCAUGAAAAGUGAACAACCAAUGAGAGCUGAGGUGAGGUGGCACAAGAUGAGAUUACCCAUUUUGCAUGAAAUCUACAAGUACUGAAAUGUUUUUCAAGUAAUAGCAAUUGACGUUCUGGGACAGAACUUACUAACUAAAGAGACAGACUUUGUCGUUAUUAUAUCAUCUACAAGCAACUACAGUACUUGAUAAUGUUUAAUAUUCUUUGUGCUGGUAACAAGUGAUAACAUUUACAAUUUAACAAUCUUGUAAUUUUUUGUCUAUAUUUUCUAUAAAUUUGUAAUAUUAAGAAUUGUAUAAAAAAAACCCUUAAAAAACGAUAAAAAUAUUAAGUAAGAUAUAGAUGUUGAGUGAAGUAGAAAGUAUUAUAAUUGAUAAAUGACAUUAAAAAAGAUUUGAGAAAAAGUAUUGAUAUUUACACAUGAUUAACACUGGGCUUACCCAGAAUUGUCAUGUGAGUAUGUGGGACCAACUGUAAAUAAACCUGUGAAAUACCCUGAUUAUCUUUUGUAAUUGUUGGUAAAAUCAUGUAAAUAAAUUAUUUUUGCAAUAGUA